UGAGAAGUUAUGUAGAACUGGGGCUAUGGACACCACUUUCUUUCAUGUUUAGUCUGUUCUGCAGACAGCGGCGGCAUGAAGGGAGGCAGUUUCCAAUUUCACUCCCUCACGAUUCCCAGCUGUACUUCUUGCCUAUGGGUAAUAUGUGCUGCUUAUUUAUCCUUCCAAUGGCUGCCUCUUUUUUGUCUGUUUGAACUACUAGUUUUAAUGGGUUUCUGUUUCUUGAACUAACUAUACUUGAUAAUGCCAAGUCAGGGUUGGGGAGAAAGAAAAUGUGAUAGACUGUAAUGACCUAAUGUGUGAAUGAAUGGGAGUCUUGCCAGGAGAACCUGAACCUCUUCAAGUAUUUCUAACAGAGAGAAUUUAACAUAGGUAAUUGGCAACCCAAGUGAUGGAACAGCUGAGCACCAAUCAGGAGAUGAUGAGAUAACCCAGAGAUUAGCAACAGUAGGAAGCCACUGUCUUAAUUUAGGCAAGAGAGACAAAGAAAGGAGGGAGUGUUACUUGAGGCAAAGGGUUGGGUAACGUGGGGGUUCAUGUCUGGUGAGAGCUGGAGCCAAUACAAGGCAUGGAUGCUGCCAGAGAAACCAUCCAAGGUAGAGUGGAAGGGGCAAAACAGCUGAGCAUCUUCCAUCCCCCUGUGCUACAAUCUUCUGCUAGUGCCUUCCACUAGGUGACUUCAACCAGCAGCUGACUAACCCUGGGACCUGUAACAUGGAGCAGAGUAGAGGCUAAGGAAUGAAUCUGAGGCCCAGGACUGGUACAGUGUGGAAGCAAGGCAUUCUUCUCUCGUCUUCAGCAGAAUGAAGAACUAGAAACGAUACAAGAUCUCAGACUGGUAGAAAAAGGCAGAGCCCAAGUCAGAGGAUUGGCCUUGAUGUCCCUCAUCAAAGGACACUAUGGGAGUCAUCGGUGCUCUUCUCUAUGUCAUACUUUCCUCUUUUAAGUACAUGCCGUUAAAGCAAACCCGAAUAUAUAGGUGAUCUGAAGGAGGCUGGCCCACGCAGGGGUUGGAUGUAAAAGGAGGACAGCAGCCAGAGUGAAGAGCCCUCAAGAUGAAUGAGUCAAUAUAUAGCUCAACCUUCUCUUUCUCUUCAGAGCUGAGUUCACAUCCCCCACCUAUGGAUUGGCUUUAUCUUCCUAAAAUACAGCUCUGGCCAAAAGGCUGGAUGGAAGAUACCAAGCGGAUGGGGAUUCACUGUACUCUGAAGGUGUGAAGUGGACCAACUCCUUUGGGAGCCGUGUUUCAAGAAGGAAGACAAAAAAGACAUCAGAGAAACCAGAAUUCCCUACAAGGUCAUAUAGUUCUUACAGAAAAUCCUCCGUGAGAUGGGACCUCGAGACCCCAAGGUGAAAGGAAUUUCCUGCAUCUAUAUGUUAAACACAUAGUUACUGAACACCUACUUUGUGCAAAGCACUGUUCUUAAGGCACUGUUCCCAGCUUGGAACGCUAAGCAGAUGUCAUUGUCACCAAUGAAGUGUGUAGUUGAAUCGUAGUGACAAGAGGAAGGAAGACAGUGAAGGCUAAGUUGAAAAUGUUUGGAAAAUGGCUUUUCUCUGUCUGCUAAGAAAUUAGAAAAUUAAAACAAGAGUGUUAAAAUGCAUGGGUGGUGCAUAGUUUGCAACGGGAACUGACUUGGUGGGGAGGGAGGUGGUGUGUAUUUUGAGACAAUUUUUGAAUUUGGCUUUCUGUUUAGAGCAGCUUACCUACUACUAUAAGACAGGAUGAUGGAGUAAAAGUUUAAAGUCACCCCAGAUUUAAAAUUCUGUGUGUAUGUGUUUUCUAUCUCGCCUUUAUUUGUAGACUGUUUCUAUUCUUAAAUAUGCCUAAUGCUUCACUGAAUUAAGCAGCUUGAGGCCCAAAGAAUGAAUGAGACAGGGCCUCUGACUCUAAGGGACUCAUAAAGAAAGAUGAAGCAAGUACCCAAAUAAUACUACAUGUAUUAAACCAGUAAAAAUAAACCACAACCAAAACCCACUACAAACCAGGCAAUCAGAAAAGUUGUGGUAGAUUGACUGCAAAAAGUCCUCAAGUUCUUCAUUCUCCCUAUCCAUACCCAUUGCAAUGUGAUGUUGCAGUUCUUUUCAUAAGUGAAAGAGUCUAGAUUCCCACACCUUGAAACAGAGUUGGUCUGUAGCUUGCUUUGGCCAAUAGGAAGCAGCAGAAGUGAUGCUGUACCACUUCUAAGCCUGACUCAAGGGGCUUUGCACAUUGUCUCUUUUUGUUUCAGAACCUUGUCAUCACCACUAGAUCAAGGCCAAGCUAACCUGCUGAAGGCUGAGAAAUUUUGCAGAGGAAAGCACAGUUGUUUUAGCUAAGGCUAUCCUAGAUCACCUCACAGCCAGCCAAUUCUCUUACACGUAAGACAGCAGAGCCAAGGUCAACAAAUAUUUAGGCCAUCACAUAGCUGCCUGCAGAUACAUGAGUGAACCCAACUGAGACCAUAGGAACCAUGCAGCUGAACUGUGGACUUGUGAGGACAAAUAAAUAUCUACAACAGUAUGCCACUACAUUGGUUAUUUGUUACUCAGCUUUACUGUGACAAUUGAUAACUGAUACCAAAGGUUUCAUGGGGUAGUAAUCUUUCCACAAAGCCAUGAAGAAUGAGGAUGACGGAGGAUUGUGACAGGCAGUGCAAAUGGGGAGGACUUCAGGCCAGAGGCAUAGCAUGAAUGAAACCAUGGAGCGAGAAAGCCUAAAUAUGGUCACAGAAUGGCAACAACCCAGUUUAAUGAAAAGGGCUCAGAAUUUCAAAAUCACCACUAUUAUGACAUCAACUCUGAGAAGUUAUCCGGAGGGGUGGCUAUUCUCUAGACAAGUAGUGCUAUUGAAAGAGAGUUCACUCUUGACACAAGGCCUCUUACAAGCUGGGGAUGUAGAAUACACUUUGCCCUCUUCACUGGCUGGGCCGAGAAGGUGCAAGAAUCAGAGAGAGUCAAAUCUUGUUAUUGCACCUGUUUUAACACAUACACCUGAGCAAGACAAGGAAGCAAAUACUUUCUUGAAAUGAACAUAGCAUGACUAGAUGGUGGAACAGAGAACUGGAAUAAGUGAAGACCAAUGUUUUCACUGAGACACUUUUUUUUAUUCCACUGGAACUUAGAAGUACUCAAAUCAGAUUUUUGUACUGGCUUGAUGUUUUGCCAAGAAAUUAAAUUUAGGAAACUCCAGGUAUUACUGAGAUGAUAUCACAUUGGCCUGCCUCAAAACAAUCUUUGGGGAAGUAGGUGGCAUAUGAAUAAUCAAUAAAUAACUAAUGCCUUCUAGAGAAACUGGAAGAAAAACAAAAACACUGUGUUGACGUCUUCAUAUUGAUUGUUUGCUUGCUUUAUGUUCCCUCCUCCCACUUCCUGUAAUUGCCAGGAUGUUCAGUGACCUUUCUGUGUUUAAUUACUCAAAAAAAAAACAUGCGAAAAAUGAAUGCCAGAGGAAGAGGGAGGUACCUAUUGCUGAGUGUCUUGUCAAAAUAACUACCCCCAAUGUCUUUCUUCUUUCUGUGGGAUAUGUGAUGCUUGAUUGAAAUGAGCAGAACAUGAAAUGGAGAAAGCAUACCGCUA
Long non-coding RNA from Rhinolophus ferrumequinum (greater horseshoe bat), 3558 nucleotides. RefSeq lists it as uncharacterized. The record is from RefSeq and is a predicted model, not a curated record. Lineage: Eukaryota; Metazoa; Chordata; Mammalia; Chiroptera; Rhinolophidae. The transcript has 4 exons.